Molecule: long non-coding RNA, 4831 nt
Organism: Sparus aurata (gilthead seabream)
Lineage: Eukaryota; Metazoa; Chordata; Actinopteri; Spariformes; Sparidae
Source: Ensembl
UGGUAAAAAAAAAAAAAACCCAAACAUGACUUAUUCAGAAUUGUAACCGUCACUAUCUAAAAGAUCUGUUCUUCCAUCAUGCUGUUGACAAGCUGCAUACAGAGCAGUUCUUUGACUUCGUCAGAUCUGUAUGGAAAGUGAUGAGGCUUUGAUGCGUUACUUGUCUGCGUCUGAGAGCUGAACGGGUAAACAGGACCGCAGCGGCAGCAGCAGCAGCAGCAGCAGCAGAAGAAGACGAAGAAGACUAGUAAAGUUCAGUGGGCGGGGGAGACAGGAAGAUGUCACCAGGUAAGGAAACAGUGACGAGGGGAUGGGUAGAGUGAGUGUGAGGACAGAGAGAAAGAAAGAGGGAGAGUCACACCUUGAGGAAGUUAACCAAAUAAUAGAAGGAGAACAAAAGACGCAUCAUACCGAAGGUAAAAGUGAUGUUUUCCUGUUAAAUUCACAUUAAAUGUUCAUGUCAGGCCUUGUUUAUCAUUUGGCAGACUCUACAGAAUGUGUCCUGCCUUUUCAAUUUGGUGUUUCUAACUGACCACUUGAUAUCUUGCCUUUAAUUUCUCCAUUUUGUAACUGUGUCUCCAUAGGAUGGGACUCGUGCAAUGUUUUAUGAUAGUCUUGAUGUUAUCUGCACAGUCGGUGUUCACCUUCCCGUCGGUAACAAAGCCCUUUCUCUUCAUCUUAUCUGUAAUCUCACAGAAACAUUUUAUGUUGUUUGCUUUUCAAGAAUAAGACAGAGCAAAUGUGUAAAUUACGUCUGUUCAUGUGUGAACAAAUUAAUCAGGACUUUGCUGUUGUAUAGUUGUCUGUGUCUAAUUGUUCUGAUGUGUUGACAGGCCACUAUAAAAGGCAAGUGUGAAGAAAUGUGCCCACCAGGUACAUAUAAGAAGUCUUGUACAGAGUGUGUGUCCUGUCCCCUUGGAAGGUACACGACUGAGUGGAACGCAGAAGACGACUGCCAUAUCUGCUACCCAGACUGCAGACCAGAUUAUCGUCUGGUGGUGGUUCAGAGUUGCACCAACACGUCCGACGUGCAGUGCAGCUGUGAGGCUGGCUUUGAAUGCUCGGAGUGGGUUACUCUCUCAACACACUGCAAACGCUGCAGGAAGAUCCAGUCAACAACUGAAGCAGGAACCACUAUCUCAGGCCAAGAUAAACACACGCCUUCCUCAGCUUCCUCAGGACAUAGCAGAACUUCUACUGAGCCCUGCCGAUUUCCCAAAUGUGGCUCUCAGACAGUCCCAACAGCAGAAAAUGGCAUAAAUCUCAAAAGAGACAAGAUGAGCAGUCAGCUGGCAGCCAUCUUGUGUCCAGUGGUUGUCAUAACAUGCGUGGCCCUCAUGAUCCUGUUCUUCGUUCGUCGGCCUGGAGAUGAAUCAUGUUUCAAGCAAGCUAUUGCAUUGCUGAUAUGCAAUGAGAGAGGUCGAGAUGCUUCUCACAAGUCAAAGGAGUCAACGCAUCAGUUCCCCAGAGACUCAUUCAGUGCAAAGCAGCCACCGCCCCUUUCAGCAGCCAAUCUGGGUCCAGUCCAUGUCCACAAUCCGGGGACGGUUAUCUUUAGCUUGCUCAGUCAGUUCACAGGCCAAGUUGGUCCGACAAUUGAAGCGGGGAAGCCGGCUGACAGGCCCCGUGGCGAAGAAGAAGAAGAAGAAGAGAGGGACUGUCCUGUGUUUCAUCCCACAUCCUCACCCAGUAUUCAUCUCUCUGAGGAGGAGAGGAGUGGAGAGAACGACAGCAUUUUCUUUCCCUCCCAGGAGCAGGGGAAGGAUUACCACGUGUCCAAAGAGGAGGCGCUAUGAUGCACCGCAAAAGCCAUAGAAGAUUUGUAGCGGUGGUUGUGACCACUGCAGUCCAGACUGAUUCCAAAAACUUUCUCUGAAAAGGACGGGAUGAUGAAAUUGCGCAACCACAGAUGAGUGAGGAGCAUAGCCAUCUUUCUCUGGCAAACUGUGAAUCACAGCGUUCUACAGAUAUUUUCAUCUGCAGGCUCUGGGAAAACAUGUGUUUAGUGCACAUCAGAAACUUUAACUCUGGGAAGAACAGCCGGAAUCUCCUUUGUAAGUUAUGAUUUACGAUGUAAAUACUCGUUAAUAAGCUCUGGCAGCUAUCUCUAAAGUACCUGCAUGAUAAUAUUUGCAUAAAUAACAGGCAUUUGGUUGGCAAUUAAAUUUUAUUGUGAAUUCAAAAACUAUGUAGAAAUGUCCGUAAGUUAAAAGCAUUCACAUAUAUGUACAAUCAGACUGUGAAUAUGCAGCAAAAAGUCUAUUUAUAUACCUACACCUAUAAAUGUGUAUAUAAGAUGUGAAAUAUCUUUAACUUUUGUGUACCAUAGUACAUACCCCUGUUUUUGAAAUAUACUGCGUACGCUUCACAGUGUCGCACACUGUAAUCUCAGUGCCUUUCAGGUGCUUUUCUGUCCUUUUAUACACUUAUUUUAACAUCACAGGUGUCAAAAAGUCAUGUUUCAUCUCAGGAAACAGCAUCAGUGUUGAAACAAAUGUUGUGUGGUUCCAUUCAUCAACAUGACCCAAGUGACGUUUGCCUCCAUUUAUCAUAAAAAAUGUCCAAAGCCACAAGAGAUCUGUCACUAAAUGUCCGUAUGUGAAAUUAGUGGUAAUCCAAGUCCAGUAUCCAUCUUCGGGUUAUUCACAUUUCCUGCUUCCUGGACAGGCUUUGAUACGUCUCCGUCCGGGGGGCAUGGUGUCACUGGUGGAUAUGGUUUAGUCAAAGGGCAGCCUGAGCAACAAAAGAAUGAGGCAAGUGUGAAUUCAUUAUGACGUAAUAAUCACUUAAGAUGUUAUAAAAUGAUAAAGUACAAUGCUCAUUGCACCUGCUGUAUGUAUACUCUGGUGCAAGGUUAUCUGUAUCUUGAUAAUAAUCUACUAACCAGACUUGGAUCUCAUCCAGCGCAGGAUGGGUUUGCUAUUUGUAACAACAACGAGUGCGAUUACUGCAGACAGGAGGGCAGUAAUCACCAGGAACCACACUUUAUCUGUAUGCAACAAGGAAGACAGACAUUUUUUACAUAUUUUAGAUGAAGAUCAAGAGAUCAAGAUCAAGUAUUUCCUUGCUGUUUACUGGCACAGACGGAACCUGUACUUUACCUCCAAGUGGUUUACUGGCUGCCGAGGGUGUGGCAGGGUUGGUAAGAGGUUUCGGGGCUGGAGGGAAGAGAUUAAACAUUUUAAUCAGCUCACAUUUAGACUUCAACACAUUUAAAAAUUCAGUGGAAAUAGGAAACUGUUCAUAGUUCAGAUUAGUCAUUGAGCUCAUUAUCUCUUCUUUUUGGCUCUGUGGUCAGGAAGUCAUUUAUAAUCCCAAAACAGGAUUUAUUAUGAACUCGUGUCACCUUGUGUGAAGGACUCCACUCAGUGGAUACCACAGAGGAUGCAUUCGUUAACUGUGAACAUUUGAAUAAACAUUUGUUUGUAUUAUUUUUAAUGAUUACAUCUGCACUGAUCCGUUCCAGUUGAACUUGGCAGCCUUUCAGGAAUGCUGUAGCAGGAUGUUGCCAUGGCUACAGUCCUCUCUGCAGUGCAACAUGUUGUGUUCAAGUGAACUUUUUCCUUGGGAAGUACAAAAGGGCGACCCUUUUUUAUGGAGCUGCUGGAGUGCUAAAUGUCAUCCAAAAAUGAUCAAGACAUCAACUACUGAGUCUGAAUCUGCUCAGUGCCCUUUAAAGCUCUUUUUGGCUGCUUUCAGGCAGCAAAACAUCAGCAUGACAGUAAUUUUUAGUAAUUCUUCAUGUUUCUCACUUUCUUCCAUCAGCCCCUGAGGGAAAUAUCUAGCUCUUUAGCUGCUUAAUGUUCUACUGUGUUCAUCAACUGGCAGUGCGGCAUUAUUAUCAGUGUUGCCAGAUCUAACGCAAGAAACAAGCAAGCAAGUCUAAAGCAACAAGCCCAAAAGAGGCUUUACAAUAAAAAAAAGCCCAAACCAGUGACUUUACCUUAUGUGAGAGAAAGAGUCCUCUUGAUUACUUUAUACUGUGUAUACAGCAUAUAUGUGAAUUUAUUUUGCAUCUCUAACCAAACCCAUUACUGAUGUCAGUAGCUACCUUUAUGAUCACCUCUAUGGUCACCUGGCAUCCUUGUGUUCACAGUGUUUCUGUAUUCUCUGUGUCAUACUGUACGCUGACUCUCAGGUUUCCGAUGUCCACAUCAACCUAAAUCAAAAACUAAAACUCAACUUGUAUAAACAUUAUAAAUGAAUACAUCCUACCUGUAGUGGGGGUUACGGGUGUGGUGGUGGUUGGUAUCGGCUCACACUCUUUACAGGGUUGUUCCCUGCACUGGUAGCCAUCUUUACAUCUGCACACAGCGUUAUGAGUGGCGUUACAUUCUGACUCAAACUCCAUGUUCGCUGUAAAGUAUGAAAGAAAGAAACAAAUAAUGAACAUUAAAAGAGUAAGUCAGUGUUAGUGAUGAACACACGUAUGUACAAAGGUAAAAUAUGACACAAAUCAGAAAAUGAAAAAUGACUCAGAAGGCAUGGCAGGUAUUGAUUCUGGAUUUAAGUCAUAAGACGGUUAUAUCAUCACAUUAGAAACCCAUUUUUUACAGACAGCUGUUACUUCUCAGUAAAAGCUGGGUUUCACUUUGAUAAAACAUUCUCUGUUACCAAAUGCUUUAACACGAAUACUUCAAAGUACAUUCACAAAUGAACAAAGAUCAACUACUUGGAUGAGCCCCUAUAGUCAUCACACAACAUUUGUUAUAACCAAUACAACAUAGUUUAUAAAACUACAACAAUGACAAUUAAGUUUUUGCGUAAUUGUGUCUACAGUUCAGAGAGGACUUCUGGAUCAUAGUGGUUAAAGAGACAUGGAGUCUUCCUU